ACGAACGCUGGCGGCGUGCUUAACACCUGCAAGUCGAACGGAAAGGCCUGCAGCUUGCUGCGGGUACUCGAGUGGCGAACGGGUGAGUAACACGUGGGUGAUCUGCCUUGCACUUCGGGAUAAGCUUGGGAAACUGGGUCUAAUACCGGAUAGGACAGCUGUUUAGUGUCAGUUGUGGAAAGUUUUUUCGGUGCAAGAUGAGCUCGCGGCCUAUCAGCUUGUUGGUGGGGUAAUGGCCUACCAAGGCGUCGACGGGUAGCCGGCCUGAGAGGGUGUACGGCCACAUUGGGACUGAGAUACGGCCCAGACUCCUACGGGAGGCAGCAGUGGGGAAUAUUGCACAAUGGGCGGAAGCCUGAUGCAGCGACGCCGCGUGGGGGAUGAAGGCCUUCGGGUUGUAAACUCCUUUCGACAGGGACGAAGCUUUUGUGACGGUACCUGUAGAAGAAGCACCGGCUAACUACGUG
Molecule: ribosomal RNA, 467 nt
Filed under: uncultured bacterium
Lineage: Bacteria
Description: partial 16S ribosomal RNA
Rfam family: Bacterial small subunit ribosomal RNA
Source: RNAcentral